RNAcentral lists this non-coding RNA (31 nucleotides) under Rattus norvegicus (Norway rat). The record is from RNAcentral. Lineage: Eukaryota; Metazoa; Chordata; Mammalia; Rodentia; Muridae.
UAAAGAUGGCAACCAGUCUUCUGAGGGGCCU